UCUCUCUCUCUCUCUCUCUCUCUCUCUUGUCACAAUUUAUUAAUUGUGAUCAAAUUAACCAAACGAAUGCGGGUUUAACCCAAACUGAAUUUCUGGUUAACUGGUUAGUUUAUCAAUCGUUUACACGUUCACAAGGAAACGAAAACAAUUUACUUGAUUUUUACUUUCAUUUCUAUUAUUAUAUGUUGAUGAUUAUCUAAUUAAUUGAAGAGGUUCAUGAUGAUUAUGAUGAUGAUCAUCAAGAAGAUGAUGAUAAAGGAAAAGAUGAUAACUUUUCUUCCAACGGGACACUUUAAGUAAAUUCUAAAAAGGAUUUUCAAUCUACAAUUAAGUUGGUUGAUUGUUGCAGUUGAUCUGGUCGAUGAUCAACAAAUCAUCGUAAUCAAAUGAUGACAAUAACCUUAAAUCCACCAACAAUCAAUUAGUAAAUUGUAGAAAUUAAUUGUGACCUUUUUUUGUGAGGCUAUUAAAAAACGUGAUUCCGAUGAUUAAGUUAUCAACAAUUUGCCU
Long non-coding RNA from Panonychus citri (citrus red mite), 510 nucleotides. RefSeq lists it as uncharacterized. The transcript has 3 exons. The record is from RefSeq and is a predicted model, not a curated record. NCBI's taxonomy places the organism in Eukaryota, Metazoa, Arthropoda, Arachnida, Trombidiformes, Tetranychidae.